RNAcentral lists this ribosomal RNA (493 nucleotides) under uncultured bacterium. RNAcentral's name for it is "partial 16S ribosomal RNA". It matches the Rfam family "Bacterial small subunit ribosomal RNA", at positions 30 to 523 of the family's 1533-position model. The record is from RNAcentral.
AUUGAACGCUGGCGGCAUGCCUUACACAUGCAAGUCGAACGGUAACAGGUUAAGCUGACAAGUGGCGAACGGGUGAGUAAUAUAUCGGAACGUGCCCAGUCGUGGGGGAUAACGUAGCGAAAGCUACGCUAAUACCGCAUACGAUCGACGGAUGCAAGCGGGGGAUCGCAAGACACCGCGCGAUUGGAGCGGCCGAUAUCAGAUUAGUUUGUUGGUGAGGUAAAAGCUCACCAAGCCUGCGAUCUGUAGCUGGGCUGAGAGGACGAGCAGCCACACUGGAACUGAGACACGGUCCAGACUCCUACGGGAGGCAGCAGUGGGGAAUUUUGGACAAUGGACGCAAGUCUGAUCCAGCAAUGCCGCGUGCAGGACGAAGGCCUUCGGGUUGUAAACUGCUUUUGUACGGAACGAAACGGUGAGCUCUAAUACAGUUUGCUAAUGACGGUACCGUAAGAAUAAGCACCGGCUAACUACGUGCCAGCCGCCGCAGUAA